GAUGAACGCUGGCGGCGUGCCUAAUACAUGCAAGUCGAGCGAACAGACGAGGAGCUUGCUCCUCUGACGUUAGCGGCGGACGGGUGAGUAACACGUGGAUAACCUACCUAUAAGACUGGGAUAACUUCGGGAAACCGGAUCUAAUACCGGAUAAUAUAUUGAACCGCAUGGUUCAAUAGUGAAAGACGGUUUUGCUGUCACUUAUAGAUGGAUCCUCGCCGCAUUAGCUAGUUGGUAAGGUAACGGCUUACCAAGGCAACGAUGCGUAGCCGACCUGAGAGGGUGAUCGGCCACACUGGAACUGAGACACGGUCCAGACUCCUACGGGAGGCAGCAGUAGGGAAUCUUCCGCAAUGGGCGAAAGCCUGACGGAGCAACGCCGCGUGAGUGAUGAAGGUCUUCGGAUCGUAAAACUCUGUUAUUAGGGAAGAACAAAUGUGUAAGUAACUAUGCACGUCUUGACGGUACCUAAUCAGAAAGCCACGGCUAACUACGUG
RNAcentral lists this ribosomal RNA (497 nucleotides) under uncultured bacterium. RNAcentral's name for it is "partial 16S ribosomal RNA". It matches the Rfam family "Bacterial small subunit ribosomal RNA", at positions 28 to 507 of the family's 1533-position model. The record is from RNAcentral.